Molecule: ribosomal RNA, 497 nt
Filed under: uncultured bacterium
Lineage: Bacteria
Description: partial 16S ribosomal RNA
Rfam family: Bacterial small subunit ribosomal RNA
Source: RNAcentral
GAUGAACGCUGGCGGCGUGCCUAAUACAUGCCAGUCGAGCGAACAGACGAGGAGCUUGCUCCUCUGACGUUAGCGGCGGACGGGUGAGUAACACGUGGAUAACCUACCUAUAAGACUGGGAUAACUUCGGGAAACCGGAGCUAAUACCGGAUAAUAUAUUGAACCGCAUGGUUCAAUAGUGAAAGACGGUUUUGCUGUCACUUAUAGAUGGAUCCGCGCCGCAUUAGCUAGUUGGUAAGGUAACGGCUUACCAAGGCAACGAUGCGUAGCCGACCUGAGAGGGUGAUCGGCCACACUGGAACUGAGACACGGUCCAGACUCCUACGGGAGGCAGCAGUAGGGAAUCUUCCGCAAUGGGCGAAACCCUGACGGAGCAACGCCGCGUGAGUGAUGAAGGUCUUCGGAUCGUAAAACUCUGUUAUUAGGGAAGAACAAAUGUGUAAGUAACUAUGCACGUCUUGACGGUACCUAAUCAGAAAGCCACGGCUAACUACGUG